GUUGCAGUCAUCCACCUUCACUUCGAUGCCCGCGGGAAUGAUGGUGGUUCCUGCAAAGCAGUUUGGGCCUGCAAAUACACACGGGAGUAACAGAGCUUGAAGAGUAGCAACAACAACCACCUCUCCUGCUGCUUUCCUUGUGGCACGGUGAGGGCAGCGGAGCCUCGUGUACAACAACCACGACAUUCAUUAAGGAAUGAAUCCAUAAUUCCUGAUCCAUAACCCAGCAGGCAGGUCGGGAAGGGGCCGGUGCACACGCUGCUGGCUGGGAGAUAAGGGAUGACGCAUCGGGUGCUGCUGUGGGCCCGGUUCAGAUGAAUAAUCCUCAUGCAGGAGGAGCCCCUUGGAUGUCAGCGGUGGCUGUGAUGAGUCAGAGAUCAAAGAACGAGGCUUUUCUGGAAGGAACACCCAACGUUGGCUCGGCCCUCACCAAACCAGAGCCUCUGGCCUGCAAACUGAGCUGGCUCGGCAGCGAGAGGCUGCGCGGCGGCUGCAGCUGGUUGCUCAGCCUCUGCUCAGACGCAGCCCGAGGGGCUGACAGGAGCAAUACUCCCUCCCUGGAUUCUGUAGUCCUCUCCGUGUGUGGUGAGAGCUGGGAGGGGGGGGGCAUGAAAACAGGCUGGGAUUUCAGCUCACCAGCCAGAAGCCAGGCAAAUGUACUGACCUGGGCUAAUGAGACUCAGGAGUCCCGAAGCUGCAGCAACGAGGGCUCUUCCACCCGCACCUCCUGCCACUUCCCGUGCAUUUCCACCAAAGUGCAACUCAAGGUGCUGCUCUGCAGACAGCAAAGCCUGUGGGGGGCCUGAUCCUGCAGGCUACAGAGCAUUUCCUGAGAAGCCAGCAGCCCUCUCCAGUCUGGCAUGGAAGGCGGUGGCCCCAAAGGCAUCUAACCCCAGAGGAGUGUUUUAAUUCCAUCCUGGACCUGACUACUUACCCAGGCGAGGGCAAGAGCUGAGCAAGAAGGACAUUUCCCAUCACAGCCUGAGUUAUUUCUGCUAUUCCUCUCUCACUCAAACAGGGAGGAAAAGUUCAAGUCGAAAGUACUUUUUGGCUUUCAUAAAAAAAUCAGGGCAGGUUAUCUGAAAUAAUUCACUGGGCAAAAAAGCUCCUUCAUUUCUGUAUUUGUAAUGUUCCAAAUUACAAAACAAAGAUCUACAUGCAAAAUCAAGUCACUCCCCUCUGCCCUCCCAGAUUUGAGUCAGUUCAUGUUGAAAGCAUUAAAAUGGGGCAUCUUUUUUAACGUAUGAGCAGCCAGUUUGCUAUAACUGGCCUUUUUCCCAGGGACGUUUCAGUGAGUCAGCAUUUUCUGACCAACAUCUUCCCAUCUUCGUCAAAAACACUCAACCAGCUGCAGAGGAAAAAAAGUCUGAGCUUUGAAAGGUCGGGGAGAACUUUGUGUGCUCGUCUUCACACAGACCCAUUUCUCUCAAGAAAGCCUUGUGCAGGACAUCAGUACUUUUCUGCUUGGUACAUCUGCUCCUGCUCCAUUAAUUCUAACAGACAUGAGCACCCCUGCCAGCACUACCUGGGCACAAAGCAUUUUCAACCUGGACAAAAAUGUGGCUUAGUUGAUGUAAAAGGAGUUCUACCAGUUUACACCAGUUAUUAGGUGUUUUGUUUGUUUGUUUGUUUGUUUCUUCAAACUACAACUCUUUGUGGCAAUGAGGAUUUCUGAAAAGGGUGCAAGUGGAAUACAUCCAUCCUAGAGUGACCUGAGAAGAUUAAACCUGGGCAGCCUCCAUGCACAAGAAAUGUAAUAUUGCCCACAUGGUGCAGAAUACAUGUGACGAGGAUGUAGGAGCUCUGAGCUACCUAAGGGGAGCUUUGAUUGCCUUUUCAUCUUCCUAGGAGAUGAAAUCUAACCUGCAGUUGACAUCCUCUGUGCAAGAAGGUUAAAUCAUACAUACAAUUAGAUCACACACAUCCUAAGUGCAUUGCAGACAAGGCAGACUUCAAACUCUGUUAGGUAGGUCUGUCAGUCUGAGGUGGUUUCCAUACUGUUUUGAAGGGGUUUAGCUUCAUUUUUUGGGCUUGUACCAGGAGCAAACACUGAUUUUUAAGGUUUUCAAUUUCAAGAUCUUGUGUACAAAAAGAAAUUAAAAGGAACAUGGCAUAAGACUCUCUUCUGGCUUUAAUGCCGUGUGGCCAAGACUGGCCACAUCCAUACCACCCAGCACUUUCCCUUGGACCUCCUGCAGACUCCAGGAAGUGCCCUCUUCACCCCCGAGGUGUAAUUAUUUUGUGUGCAUUUCUUUGGACUAUCUGAGCUAGCAGGAGGGCAGCCCUGCAGUCCAGGAAGGUGAUGCUCCCUUAGCGUCAAGGGUGCUGCACGUGCCUCAAGGUUGGGGUGAAGACACAGCCCGGUGGUGGAGCACACAAAGUUUGUUAAAACAGUGCUGGCUGGCUGCUCUGGCUCAGGUGUGCCACCCAGUACAACCCAUACCAAUAGGGCCAGAAGUGCAAGGAACCAGAGCACACCAACCCCACCUGUCAAAGCAAAGAAAGCCACAUGCUCUCCUCUUGUCCUCUGGGCCAAGCUUAAGCUCUUCAGUCUUAGGUAUGAAAUCAGAUCACCACUGCAGAAGGGUUUUCUGUACACAGCCACAGAAAGCAAGAGAUUACCCCCAACCAGCUAAGCUCUUUGCAGCCUGUGCUGCAGGAUCUGAGGUGAGAAAAGCCUCAGGCUGCAGGAGAGAUGCCCUGGCAUUGAUUCGUUGACCUGCACUGAGAGCUGAAAGCACCUGUGGAAAGUCAGAGCAUGAAGAAAGCUACACGAGAGGGACUGGGGUGGGCCAAAGGGGUGGAAGGAAAUGGAUGCUGAUGUUUAUGGCAGCAGAGCAUCUCUGGACAAGAGGGACCACAAUACCUGAUGGCAGUCUUGGCACUGUAUGAGCCCUGAGCCUCUCCUCCAGCAACCUUCUCCAGGCAGUAUAGUUCAACCACUGUCACACAGCAGUAUCACUGCCACAGAUACCUAAUGCUCUUUCACCCUCACCUGGACAUGCUGCAUCAAGCUAUGGGUCCCUCUAGCAAACAGUUCCCCAAAACUUGCACUUAUUUUCAUUCUGCCCAGGAGAUGUGCUCCAUCAGCCAAGCAGGGAUGGAGAUGAAGAAAAAUGCACCUUUAAAAAUAAUUCUUACUCUCUCCAGCUGAACGGAUUUGGCAAGUGUAGCAGGCUGGAAUGAUGUGCAAACAUACAGUCAUACCCAGAAUGAGAUUACUGCACUGAUUUCCUUUGCAGAGGUGUGUAGGUGUAGCAAAGGUGGAAGGCUGUGGCUGAAAGGUGGGACCCUACCAAAGAAGCAGAGAGGAUGGAGACACAGAAGAGGCAGAGGGAAGGAAAGAAAGCAGGAGGAGAAAACUUCUAAAUGCCUUUUUUUAAUUCUAAGUUUUCUCAGACUUGCUUAGCUCUAAUCUUUAAUUCCUAUUUUCAUUACUGUCUCUUUGCUCUGGAAAGUCUGCAUUUCAUGAAAAGGGAACAGCUCAAACAUCAAUUAUUUGACAUAAGUCAACCCCUUGUUAAUGUCCUCUACUCUACAUAUAUGUAGGCUCCAAGAAAAGAAGCAUUAAACAUUCAUUAAAUUAGAAAUACAUGAAGACAGUGUCUGCUCCUCUUCUCAUACAGAUGUGCUUAAUAAUCCCAACCUCCUUGAGCAGCAAAACCCAUCUCUAAUCCUUUUAGAAAGCCUGGCCAUGCCAAACACCCCAUCCUCCUGCAGUUUGCCUGCGAGUCACCCAGACGUGUCAGCUCUCGCAGGUCAGAUCCUCAGCUGCAGUAAAUCAGAGUAAGACCAGAGCAUUACGCCAAGUGACACGGACUCAGGAUUUGGCUUCAGGCUCCUCCUGCAGCAAAACACUUCACAGCAAACUGAUGGGGAUGAUAAUGUCACUUUGGGUCUUUUAAGCUACACAAGGACCUGAGCAGGUGGGGAACAGCAGCACCGCAACUGCUUUAGAUUCGCUACUGCCCGGGCUGCUUCCGUUCUGCAAAAGGAACCUGGUUUCCCAACCUGAAUCUAGGAACUUUCUACCCCCCCCCCCAAACCCCAAACUCACCCCCUCCUCUACAAUAUACUAUCAUGAUGAUAAAGGCUCUUGAACUUCCACUGCUUCUGCAUACAAAUUUCAGCAACAUGUUCCCAAGGGGAAACAAUCGCUGAUGAGCAGACGCUGCCUCAUAAAUAUUUCUGAGUUUAAAGAACAAUGCAGACCAUGUAACAUGUUUCCCACGUCCCUGUGAGCUGUGUCCACUUAAUGAGAGCUUUGGAGCAAGUCCCAUCCAACAAAUGGCUUCUCAUAAUCCUCCCCAACCUUUCUCUUUCAGGUGCCUGUAGACAUUAAUUUUGAACUCUGUUGGGGUGGAAGCAUGGAAACAUGGUUAGGACCUGGGGUACAAACUCAGGAGAGUGGCUUUCAGCUCCUGCCUGGCCUCAUGCUGGCUGGUAGAGUGUUCUCCUGCCUUGUUUAAGAUGGGAAUUAUCCCUGUCUUGCUCCCUGGGCAAACAAAAUGCUCGGGAAGCACUAGCUGACCUGUAAGGGUGCAGACAACAAAGACGUUGGGUCAGAAGGGGUGGCUGUCCCACUGGCUCCUCUUUGAAUUGAGCUCUUCCCAGCAGUGUCCCUGUCCCUCUGAAGGUGCACGGUCCAGCAGUCAUUGCUUUGGGUGAGCACUGAGCUCUGUGAUGGAGUUAAUCACAUGAAGUGCUGUUCAGCUCAUGCCUCUUUUCGUUCUCUAAAGGCUCUUCCUCCCCCUUGUCUCUUUUGGUUUCUCCUCCCAGACUUCAGGGGGUGGCAGAUUCAACUCAGCCCUCCUUGAUGCCACCCAGCACCAAGAUGGCUAAUUUUGGAAGGUUUAACCUCUAUAUACCUUUGCAAAGCUUUGCACCAUUAUUAGAUGACUCUUCCAACAGCUGUGUCCACAGGGAGCAGGUCACAGGGCGUUCAAGCGUCUGGAUAAUCCAACGGUGUGAGACUUCCAAAAGGAGAGCUAGCUCUUGACAGGUGUCUGUGUAACUCUCAGCAGCAAAUUUGGCAUCUACGUGUCUUUAACCACUUUGCCCAAGUGAUGGAGGUGGGCGAGCUCCCCUGAAAAUACAUUGCAGUGAAGUGACUCCUUUUUCAAGCAAGGGUAAAGCAAGCACUGAAGUAUUUUGGUCAGGUUGCUGACUGUCUGGCCCAAAUAUACCACCUUUCUUUCAGUCUUGAUCUUUUUCCUAGCUUUUAAAUCAAUCCCUUUUUUUUGCUCCUGUUGGUAAUCAAAUCCCUCCUUUGAUUGAGCUAACAGGGCACCACAGUUUACAUUCCUGCUGGUAAACACAAAGAACAUUAGCUGACAAACAAUCAAAACACAUCCUUUUUAGUCUCAGGAGUUUUCUUUUGCAUUCAGCCUUCCAAACCCAUCGAUUUUCAUAGCCCUUGGUGCCCUGGGCUCUGUCAUGGCAACAUUAAGGCAGCUCCUACAGCUUCUGCAAGAAUGGAAGCCAGCUCCUGAUCUGGGGUGGCAUCUCUUCAGCAGCCCAGCAGGGCUAAGGAGUGGGCUGUGGAACAACCAGCAGCUCCCACGCGUGGGACAAGAGCUGCCCGAAGAGGAGCAGGUCCUUGCUGUGACCUCUCAGCCUGCCAUCUGAAUGGGGUUGUUGUUGGGGGGGGGGGUUACCCAAAAAGCUGGCUGGCUACCAUCAAUACUUCAUCCACCAAGAACGAAGGGUGAUGUGGCUACACUACACUACUGGCUUCAGCCUCCAGGACCUAUGAAGAGGAUCGAGGAGUCCAGCAAAGUCCAGCCUGGGGGAUAUUUCCUCUUCUUGGUUGGUCACGUUCAGCUUGCAUCUGCACAAUCAAUCAGCACAUUGCAUAGACUUUGACUGAAGGGGUUUUAAUUGCAAUCUUAAAAUCUGGCCAUUUCAGGAAUUCCUGAAAUAAAUUAGAAGAGGAAUUUUAUUUAGUUGUUGUUUUGUUUUUUUUUCUAUUCCCCAUGGUUCCAAACCACUGUUUUCCACACAGUAAAUGGUUAAGUCUUCUCUCAUC
Long non-coding RNA from Apus apus (common swift), 6028 nucleotides. RefSeq lists it as uncharacterized. NCBI's taxonomy places the organism in Eukaryota, Metazoa, Chordata, Aves, Apodiformes, Apodidae. The record is from RefSeq and is a predicted model, not a curated record. The transcript is spliced from 2 exons.